GCCCAUGUCACUUUCUCCUCCUCCAAUUUCAGCCUUCCAUUUUGUGGGCAUCCCCAAUGCUGAGGCGAGAUUUCGAUUAAUCACCGUAGAAUAUGCCAUGUGGCUACCUUGUCUCACCGUCCGCGAACUUAUCAAAUUCCAUCCCAUACUCCAACCUAUAUAUAUCCUCUAACCCUUCUACGGACAAUUCUCUCCCUUUUCUCUCUCUGGAAAAAUAUUCGUUCUGUGUUUAGAUUAUAUAUCGUAACGGUGGUAUAAAUUCAGAAAACCCUAUUUUCUUGAAUCCCAUUUCUUGAAUUACUCAAAUGUUGCUCUUAUUGUGCUUCAUUUGAAUGGUUAUGAGAGUUUUAUUGAUAGGAAGAGAGUGUUUCUUUGUUGAAGAAAUUCAAGAUUCAAUUUUUAAUGGAGGAACCAAUAGGAAGAAGGUUUCGAAUAGGCUACGCUUUGGCUCCCAAGAAACAAGCCAGCUUCGUUCAGGUUUCUCUCAUAAAUCUUGCUAAAGAGAGAGGCAUCGAUCUUAUCAAGAUCGACCUCGAAAAGCCCUUAAUCGAUCAGGGUCCUUUUGAUUGCAUUCUUCACAAAAUUUACAGUCCCAGUUGGAAACAACAGUUAUCUGACUAUGCGAUAAAGAAUCCUAAUGUCCCUAUAAUUGAUUCUCCCAAUGCCAUUGAGAGGCUGCACAAUAGAAUUUCCAUGCUUGAGGUGGUUACCGAGAUUAAUGUUGAGUACAAGACACUGUUAUUUGGGAUUCCAAAGCAGAUUGUAAUUUAUGAUGCGAAAGCUGUCGAGGAAUUGAAUCUUGAGGCUGAGGGCUUGAAGUUUCCAGUGAUAGCGAAGCCGUUGGUGGCAGAUGGGAGUGCAAAGUCGCACAAGAUGUCCUUGGUUUUUAACAAGGAUGGGUUGAGUAAGCUGAAGCCGCCGGUUGUCUUGCAGGAGUUUGUGAACCAUGGGGGUGUGAUCUUUAAGGUGUAUGUAGUGGGAGACUAUGUCAAGUGUGUGAAGAGAAAGUCUCUACCAGAUGUGAACGAGGAGAAUUUGGGAAAUUCUGAGGCGUCACUGUCCUUUUCACAAGUCUCGAAUUUGAAUAGUGUGGAGAGGGCUGAUGACAAGUAUUAUAGAAUGAUGGACUUGGAAGAUGAAAAGACAGAGUUUCCUGCAAUGAGCUUCUUGGUUAAUAUAGCUAGUGGGUUGAGGGGUGCAAUGGGUUUGCGUUUGUUUAACUUUGACUUGAUUAGGGAUGUGCGGAUUGGGAAUAGGUACCUUGUGAUCGACAUUAACUAUUUUCCUGGAUAUGCAAAGAUGCCCUGCUAUGAGCGUGUUCUGACAGAUUUUUUCUGGGAUAUUUUGAACAAUAAUUAUGAUAAUAAGAUGGUCCUGAAUCUGGAAAGUUUAAAUAUGGGUACUUGCCAGAUGGAAGUUAGAAAGUUGGUUAGUAAUAGUGAACGUGACAAGGAUGAUGGAGUAACAAAUCUUCCCGUUUCUCCAAUAAAGCGGGAAGAAAAGGAGAGUUCCAUUCAAGUAUGAGAGAAUGCUUAUUAAAGUAAUAGUGUCAUGUGGUUAGUGGAGGGCUUGUCGGCAAACAUGGGUCAAUGGAAUUUGCUUUCUGCUGGUUGAUGGCCUUGAAGCAAGCCAUGUUGCACUUCCUUUAGAUGGUAGAAUUAGUACAGUGGUUAAUUAUUAGGUUUCUUCACUUUGAUUCUGAUGCAAUCGGCAUUAAUGGAGUGCUCUGUGUUAAUCAUGUACAUUCGAGUUGUUGGGUUGAGGAUAGUAUCAAUGGGGACAAUAGGUUUUGGUCUUUCUGUGUUAGAAGUGGCAUGCAAGUGAUCUACUCUGAUUUUGAUACGAUAUGCUGUUUUUGCUUCCUUCCAAAUGGGAAUUUGUAUCCUAGGUCUAUGGAGAAUUCAGGACUCUUGUACAUUAAAAUACACCAUAGUUUUCUUCCUUAAGAAGUUAAUUUUGUAAAAGACAAUUUAUGUUAAGGCACAUCUA
Molecule: RNA transcript, 1989 nt
Organism: Olea europaea var. sylvestris
Lineage: Eukaryota; Viridiplantae; Streptophyta; Magnoliopsida; Lamiales; Oleaceae
Gene name: inositol-tetrakisphosphate 1-kinase 1-like
Exons: 2
Source: RefSeq, a predicted model, not a curated record